AACACGAAAGUGGACGUAUAGGGUGUGAUGCCUGCCCGGUGCUGGAAGGUUAAUUGAUGGGGUUAGCGUAUGCGAAGCUCUUGAUCGAAGCCCCAGUAAACGGCGGCCGUAACUAUAACGGUCCUAAGGUAGCGAAAUUCCUUGUCGGGUAAGUUCCGACCUGCACGAAUGGCAUAAUGAUGGCAGCGCUGUCUCCAGCAGAGACUCAGUGAAAUCGAAAUCGCAGUGAAGAUGCUGUGUACCCGCGGCUAGACGGUAAGACCCCGUGAACCUUUACUACAGCUUUACAUUGAACUUUGACCUAACUUGUGUAGGAUAGGUGGGAGGCUUUGAAGCAGAUACGCCAGUAUUUGUGGAGCCAACCUUGAAAUACCACCCUGGUUAUGUUGGGGUUCUAACUUAGAUAUAACAGUAUCAAGGACAAUGUAUGGUGGGUAGUUUGACUGGGGCGGUCUCCUCCUAAAGAGUAACGGAGGAGUACGAAGGUGCGCUCAGAACGGUCGGAAAUCGUUCAAAGAGUAUAAAGGCAAAAGCGCGCUUAACUGCGAGACCCACAAGUCGAGCAGGUACGAAAGUAGGUCUUAGUGAUCCGGUGGUUCUGUAUGGAAGGGCCAUCGCUCAACGGAUAAAAGGUACUCUGGGGAUAACAGGCUGAUACCGCCCAAGAGUUCAUAUCGACGGCGGUGUUUGGCACCUCGAUGUCGGCUCAUCUCAUCCUGGGGCUGAAGCAGGUCCCAAGGGUAUGGCUGUUCGCCAUUUAAAGAGGUACGCGAGCUGGGUUUAGAACGUCGUGAGACAGUUCGGUCCCUAUCUACCGUGGGCGUUGGAAAUU
Molecule: ribosomal RNA, 832 nt
Filed under: Moraxella catarrhalis
Lineage: Bacteria; Pseudomonadati; Pseudomonadota; Gammaproteobacteria; Moraxellales; Moraxellaceae
Description: bacterial LSU rRNA
Rfam family: Bacterial large subunit ribosomal RNA
Source: RNAcentral